CAGUCGAGCGGACAGAUGGGAGCUUGCUCCCUGAUGUCAGCGGCGGACGGGUGAGUAACACGUGGGUAACCUGCCUGUAAGACUGGGAUAACUCCGGGAAACCGGGGCUAAUACCGGAUGCUUGAUUGAACCGCAUGGUUCAAUUAUAAAAGGUGGCUUUUAGCUACCACUUACAGAUGGACCCGCGGCGCAUUAGCUAGUUGGUGAGGUAACGGCUCACCAAGGCAACGAUGCGUAGCCGACCUGAGAGGGUGAUCGGCCACACUGGGACUGAGACACGGCCCAAACUCCUACGGGAGGCAGCAGUAGGGAAUCUUCCGCAAUGGACGAAAGUCUGACGGAGCAACGCCGCGUGAGUGAUGAAGGUUUUCGGAUCGUAAAACUCUGUUGUUAGGGAAGAACAAGUACCGUUCGAAUAGGGCGGUACCUUGACGGUACCUAACCAGAAAGCCACGGCUAACUACGUGCCAGCAGCCGCGGUAAUACGUAGGUGGCAAGCGUUGUCCGGAAUUAUUGGGCGUAAAGCGCGCGCAGGCGGUUUCUUAAGUCUGAUGUGAAAGCCCCCGGCUCAACCGGGGAGGGUCAUUGGAAACUGGGGAACUUGAGUGCACAAGAGGAGAGUGGAAUUCCACGUGUAGCGGUGAAAUGCGUAAAGAUGUGGAGGAACACCAGUGGCGAAGGCGACUCUCUGGUCUGUAAC
RNAcentral lists this ribosomal RNA (700 nucleotides) under Bacillus sp. KLBMP 2438. RNAcentral's name for it is "bacterial SSU rRNA". It matches the Rfam family "Bacterial small subunit ribosomal RNA", at positions 59 to 740 of the family's 1533-position model. The record is from RNAcentral. Lineage: Bacteria; Bacillati; Bacillota; Bacilli; Caryophanales; Bacillaceae.